AGUGUAGGUGGUUAUCCAAGUUGGAUGUGAAAGCCUUGAGCUUAACUCAAGAAAUGCAUUCAGGACUGGAUGACUAGAGGACCGGAGAGGAUAGUGGAAUUCCCAGUGUAGUAGUGAAAUACGUAGAGAUUGGGAAGAACACCAGUGGCGAAGGCGGCUAUCUGGACGGUUUCUGACACUAAGACUCGAAAGCGUGGGAGCAAACA
Molecule: ribosomal RNA, 206 nt
Filed under: uncultured bacterium
Lineage: Bacteria
Description: partial 16S ribosomal RNA
Rfam family: Bacterial small subunit ribosomal RNA
Source: RNAcentral